Molecule: ribosomal RNA, 406 nt
Filed under: uncultured bacterium
Lineage: Bacteria
Description: partial 16S ribosomal RNA
Rfam family: Bacterial small subunit ribosomal RNA
Source: RNAcentral
GAUGAACGCUAGCUACAGGCUUAACACAUGCAAGUCGAGGGACCGGCGCACGGGUGAGUAACACGUAUCCCACCUGCCCUUUACUCGGGGAUAGCCUUUCGAAAGAAAGAUUAAUACCCGAUAUAAAGGAUGGGGAUGGGUUCCAUUAGGUGGUUGGUGAGGGAACGGCUCACCAAGCCUUCGAUGGAUGGGGGUUCUGAGAGGAAGGGCCCCCACAUUGGAGAUGAGACACCGUCCAAAAUCGUACGGGAGGCAGCAGGGAGGAAUAUUGGUGAAUGGGCGCUAGCCUGAACCAGCCAAGUAGCGGGAAGGAUGAAGGCUUAUGGGUCUUAAACUUCUGUUAUAUAAGAAUAUGUAUUAUAUGAAGAAGGAUCGGCUAACUCCGUGCCAGCAGCCGCGGUAAUAC